CAAUAGCGUAUAUUAAAGUUGUUGCAGUUAAAAAGCUCGUAGUUGGAUUUCUGGCAAGAGCGUACAAGCCCCACAAUGUGGGGACUAUCGCAUCGUCUCUGGCCAUCCUUGGGUGGAACCUAUUUGGCAUUAAGUUGUCGAGUAGGAGAUGCCCAUCGUUUACUGUGAAAAAAUAGAGUGUUCAAAGCAGGCUUAUGCCAUUGAAUAUAUUAGCAUGGAAUAAUAAGAUAGGACUUUGGUACUAUUUUGUUGGUUUGUGUACCAUUGUAAUGAUUAAUAGGGACAGUUGGGGGUAUUCGUAUUCAGUUGUCAGAGGUGAAAUUCUUGGAUUUACGGAAGACGAACUACUGCGAAAGCAUUUACCAAGGAUGUUUUCAUUAAUCAAGAACGAAAGUAUGGGGAUCGAAGACGAUCAGAUACCGU
RNAcentral lists this ribosomal RNA (423 nucleotides) under uncultured eukaryote. Its description in RNAcentral is "bacterial SSU rRNA". It matches the Rfam family "Eukaryotic small subunit ribosomal RNA", at positions 592 to 1018 of the family's 1831-position model. The record is from RNAcentral.